Molecule: ribosomal RNA, 495 nt
Filed under: uncultured bacterium
Lineage: Bacteria
Description: partial 16S ribosomal RNA
Rfam family: Bacterial small subunit ribosomal RNA
Source: RNAcentral
GACGAACGCUGGCGGCGUGCCUAAUACAUGCAAGUAGAACGCUGAAGGAGGAGCUUGCUUCUCUGGAUGAGUUGCGAACGGGUGAGUAACGCGUAGGUAACCUGCCUGGUAGCGGGGGAUAACUAUUGGAAACGAUAGCUAAUACCGCAUAAGAGUAGAUGUCGCAUGACAUUUGCUUAAAAGGUGCAAUUGCAUCACUACCAGAUGGACCUGCGUUGUAUUAGCUAGUUGGUGAGGUAACGGCUCACCAAGGCAACGAUACAUAGCCGACCUGAGAGGGGGAUCGGCCACGCUGGGAGUGAGACACGGCCCAGGCGCCUACGGGAGGCAGCAGGAGGGAAUCUUCGGCAAGGGACGGAAGGCGGAGCGAGCAACGCGGCGGGAGGGAAGAAGGGUUUCGGAUCGUAAAGGUCGGUUGUAAGAGAAGAACGAGUGUGAGAGUGGAAAGUUCACACUGUGACGGUAUCUGACCAGAAAGGGACGGCUAACUACGUG